RNAcentral lists this ribosomal RNA (489 nucleotides) under uncultured bacterium. Its description in RNAcentral is "partial 16S ribosomal RNA". It matches the Rfam family "Bacterial small subunit ribosomal RNA", at positions 29 to 507 of the family's 1533-position model. The record is from RNAcentral.
AUUGAACGCUGGCGGCAUGCCUUACACAUGCAGGUCGAACGGCAUCGCGGGAAAGCUUGCUUUCCUGGCGGCGAGUGGCGAACGGGUGAGUAACACAUCGGAACGUACCGGCUAGUGGGGGAUAACCCGUCGAAAGACGGGCUAAUACCGCAUACGCUCUUCGGAGGAAAGCAGGGGACCUUUGGGCCUUGCGCUAGCCGAGCGGCCGAUGUCCGAUUAGCUAGUUGGUGGGGUAAAGGCCUACCAAGGCGACGAUCGGUAGCGGGUCUGAGAGGACGAUCGGCCACACGGGAACUGAGACAGGGCCCAGCCUCCUAGGGGAGGCAGCAGGGGGGAAUCUGGAACAAUGGGGGCAACCCUGAUCCAGAAAGGCCGCGGGGGGAAGGAAGGCUUCCGGGUUGUAAAGCCCUUUCGGCGGGAAAGAAAUCGGCGGGGCGAAUAACCCUGCGGGAUGACGGUACCGGCAGAGGAAGCACCGCUAACUACGUG